Molecule: transfer RNA, 74 nt
Filed under: Sooglossus sechellensis (Seychelles frog)
Lineage: Eukaryota; Metazoa; Chordata; Amphibia; Anura; Sooglossidae
Description: tRNA-Leu
Rfam family: tRNA
About the family: Transfer RNA (tRNA) molecules are approximately 80 nucleotides in length. Their secondary structure includes four short double-helical elements and three loops (D, anti-codon, and T loops).
Source: RNAcentral
GCUAAUGAAGCAAAACCUGGCAAUGCAAAAGAUCUAAGCUCUUUUAUUUAUGGGUUCAAAUCCCCUCAUUAACU